Molecule: unclassified non-coding RNA, 215 nt
Filed under: Hevea brasiliensis (rubber tree)
Lineage: Eukaryota; Viridiplantae; Streptophyta; Magnoliopsida; Malpighiales; Euphorbiaceae
Source: RNAcentral
AAGAAAUUUGAUUCAAGAAUUUCAUGAAAGGAAGAAAAAGAAGAAACAGGAUUUGCCGAGAAGAAUAAGAAAAUAUAGGGAAAGAAUGGAAGAAAUUUUAAGGGAAGAAGAAAGAAGAAUUAGAGGAACGAGAGGGAAAAACCUGGAAUUGAGGAGACUCCCAUUCAUCUGCCCAUAGUUGCAACUACAGUGAGAAGAUUUGGAAGCAAUCCCAU